GAUGAACGCUGGCGGCGUGCCUAAUACAUGCAAGUCGAGCGAACGGACGAGAAGCUUGCUUCUCUGAUGUUAGCGGCGGACGGGUGAGUAACACGUGGAUAACCUACCUAUAAGACUGGGAUAACUUCGGGAAACCGGAGCUAAUACCGGAUAAUAUUUUGAACCGCAUGGUUCAAAAGUGAAAGACGGUCUUGCUGUCACUUAUAGAUGGAUCCGCGCUGCAUUAGCUAGUUGGUAAGGUAACGGCUUACCAAGGCAACGAUGCAUAGCCGACCUGGGAGGGUGAUCGGCCACACUGGAACUGAGACACGGUCCAGACUCCUACGGGAGGCAGCAGUAGGGAAUCUUCCGCAAUGGGCGAAAGCCUGACGGAGCAACGCCGCGUGAGUGAUGAAGGUCUUCGGAUCGUAAAACUCUGUUAUUAGGGAAGAACAUAUGUGUAAGUAACUGUGCACAUCUUGACGAUACCUAAUCAGAAAGCCACGGCUAACUACGUG
RNAcentral lists this ribosomal RNA (497 nucleotides) under uncultured bacterium. Its description in RNAcentral is "partial 16S ribosomal RNA". It matches the Rfam family "Bacterial small subunit ribosomal RNA", at positions 28 to 507 of the family's 1533-position model. The record is from RNAcentral.